Molecule: ribosomal RNA, 484 nt
Filed under: uncultured bacterium
Lineage: Bacteria
Description: partial 16S ribosomal RNA
Rfam family: Bacterial small subunit ribosomal RNA
Source: RNAcentral
AUUGAACGCUGGCGGCAGGCCUAACACAUGCAAGUCGAGCGGAUGAAGGGAGCUUGCUCCUGGAUUCAGCGGCGGACGGGUGAGUAAUGCCUAGGAAUCUGCCUGGUAGUGGGGGAUAACGUCCGGAAACGGGCGCUAAUACCGAUUACUUCCUGGGGGAGAAAGUGGGGGAUCUUCGGACCCAACGCAAUCAGAUGAGCCUAGGUCGGAUUAGCUAGUUGGUGGGGUAAAGGCCUACCAAGGCGACGAUCCGUAACUGGUCUGAGAGGAUGAUCAGUCACACUGGAACUGAGACACGGUCCAGACUCCUACGGGAGGCAGCAGUGGGGAAUAUUGGACAAUGGGCGAAAGCCUGAUCCAGCCAUGCCGCGUGUGUGAAAAAGGUCUUCGGAUUGUAAAGCACUUUAAGUUGGGAGGAAGGGCAGUAAGUUAAUACCUUGCUGUUUUGACGUUACCAACAGAAUAAGCAUCGGCUAACUUCGUG